CCCUGGUGACGCGGCCCGCGCGCGGACUCCUGCCGCCCGAGCGCCGCCGCCGCCGCCGCCGCGCCUACAGCAGCGCGCCGCAGUCCGGCCUCCCGCCCCAGCCCGGGAAGGAAGGCUGGCGGCCGCGUCACGUGUCCUCGGCGAUCGCGAAACAGUUCUAGUGGUAAGGAGUCCUUUCCAAAUAUAAGAGGAAUAAAGAAGUUACUUCCCCUGCUGCCAUCAUCUCCCAACAGACUGAGCAAGAAUAUUUCGAGCGCUACAGCAAAGACAGUCCAUCAAACCCUAGAUGAUGAUCAGCCGUGUGACUUUUUCAAGAAAGGGAAUAGGGUGAAUAAAUCUUAUCAGAAAAGCAGGUAAAUAGUUUUUCAUGUAAUUGCUUUAUCUUGCAAAAGGCACGUUAUCUCAGUUCUCCAGAUUGAU
This 420-nucleotide long non-coding RNA is filed under the name Physeter macrocephalus (sperm whale). RNAcentral describes it as "Physeter catodon (sperm whale) lncRNA (ENSPCTG00005015908.1)". The record is from RNAcentral. Lineage: Eukaryota; Metazoa; Chordata; Mammalia; Artiodactyla; Physeteridae.